This 560-nucleotide ribosomal RNA is filed under the name uncultured beta proteobacterium. Its description in RNAcentral is "bacterial SSU rRNA". It matches the Rfam family "Bacterial small subunit ribosomal RNA", at positions 51 to 600 of the family's 1533-position model. Lineage: Bacteria; Pseudomonadati; Pseudomonadota; Betaproteobacteria. The record is from RNAcentral.
ACACAUGCAAGCCGAACGGCAGCAUGAUCUAGCUUGCUAGAUUGAUGGCGAGUGGCGAACGGGUGAGUAAUACAUCGGAACGUGCCCUGUAGUGGGGGAUAACUAGUCGAAAGAUUAGCUAAUACCGCAUACGACCUGAGGGUGAAAGUGGGGGACCGCAAGGCCUCAUGCUAUAGGAGCGGCCGAUGUCUGAUUAGCUAGUUGGUGAGGUAAAGGCUCACCAAGGCGACGAUCAGUAGCUGGUCUGAGAGGACGAUCAGCCACACUGGGACUGAGACACGGCCCAGACUCCUACGGGAGGCAGCAGUGGGGAGUUUUGGACAAUGGGGGCAACCCUGAUCCAGCAAUGCCGCGUGUGUGAAGAAGGCCUUCGGGUUGUAAAGCACUUUUGUCCGGAAAGAAAUCGCACUUACUAAUAUUAGGUGUGGAUGACGGUACCGGGAGAAUAAGGACCGGCUAACUACGUGCCAGCAGCCGCGGUAAUACGUAGGGUCCAAGCGUUAAUCGGAAUUACUGGGCGUAAAGCGUGCGCAGGCGGUUGUGCAAGACCGAUGUGAAAU